Molecule: ribosomal RNA, 449 nt
Filed under: uncultured bacterium
Lineage: Bacteria
Description: partial 16S ribosomal RNA
Rfam family: Bacterial small subunit ribosomal RNA
Source: RNAcentral
AGCGAACGCUGGCGGCAGGCCUAACACAUGCGAGUCGAACGGACUCUUCGGAGUUAGUGGCGGACGGGUGAGUAACACGUGGGAACGUGCCUUUAGGUUCGGAAUAACUCAGGGAAACUUGUGCUAAUACCGAAUGUGCCCUUCGGGGGAAAGAUUUAUCGCCUUUAGAGCGGCCCGCGUCUGAUUAGCUAGUUGGUGAGGUAACGGCUCACCAAGGCGACGAUCAGUAGCUGGUCUGAGAGGAUGGCCAGCCACACUGGGACUGAGACACGGCCCAGACUCCUACGGGAGGCAGCAGUGGGGAAUCUUGCGCAAUGGGCGAAAGCCUGACGCAGCCAUGCCGCGUGAAUGAUGAAGGUCUUAGGAUUGUAAAAUUCUUUCACCGGGGACGAUAAUGACGGUACCCGGAGAAGAAGUCCCGGCUAACUUCGUGCCAGCCGCCGCCGUAA